RNAcentral lists this ribosomal RNA (328 nucleotides) under uncultured Bacillota bacterium. RNAcentral's name for it is "bacterial SSU rRNA". It matches the Rfam family "Bacterial small subunit ribosomal RNA", at positions 1052 to 1382 of the family's 1533-position model. The record is from RNAcentral. Lineage: Bacteria; Bacillati; Bacillota.
UCGUCAGCUCGUGUCGUGAGAUGUUGGUUAAGUCCCGCAACGAGCGCAACCCUUAUCAUUAGUUGCUAACAUUCAGUUGAGAACUCUAAUGAGACUGCCAGUGAUAAACUGGAGGAAGGUGAGGAUGACGUCAAAUCAUCAUGCCCCUUAUGACCUGGGCUACACACGUGCUACAAUGGCCGGUACAAAGAGUUGCGAAACUGUGAAGUUAAGCUAAUCUCAUAAAGCCGGUCUCAGUUCGGAUUGUAGUCUGCAACUCGACUACAUGAAGUCGGAAUCGCUAGUAAUCGCGAAUCAGAAUGUCGCGGUGAAUACGUUCUCGAGUCUU